CCUACGGGUGGCAGCAGUGGGGAAUAUUGCACAAUGGGGGCAACCCUGAUGCAGCGACGCCGCGUGAGUGAAGAAGUAUCUCGGUACGUAAAGCUCUAUCAGCAGGGAAGAAAAUGACGGUACCUGACUAAGAAGCCCCGGCUAACUACGUGCCAGCAGCCGCGGUAAUACGUAGGGGGCCAGCGUUAUCCGGAUUUACUGGGUGUAAAGGGAGCGUAGACGGCAGCACAAGUCUGGAGUGAACUGCCGGGGCUUAACCCCGGAACUGCUUUGGAAACUGUGCGGCUGGAGGGCAGGAGGGGUAAGCGGAAUUCCUAGUGUAGCGGUGAAAUGCGUAGAUAUUAGGAGGAACACCGGUGGCGAAGGCGGCUUACGGGACUGUAACUGACGUUGAGGCUCGAAAGCGUGGGGAGCAAACAGGAUUAGAUACCCGAGUAGUC
This 440-nucleotide ribosomal RNA is filed under the name uncultured bacterium. RNAcentral's name for it is "partial 16S ribosomal RNA". It matches the Rfam family "Bacterial small subunit ribosomal RNA", at positions 338 to 795 of the family's 1533-position model. The record is from RNAcentral.